Molecule: RNA transcript, 3175 nt
Organism: Anas platyrhynchos (mallard)
Lineage: Eukaryota; Metazoa; Chordata; Aves; Anseriformes; Anatidae
Gene: FAM149A
Gene name: family with sequence similarity 149 member A
Source: RefSeq, a predicted model, not a curated record
AUAUAUAUUUAUUUUUUUGUACAAAACUUCCUUGUUUGUCUGGAAGUUUUCUAUUUCUGCUCUUCUACUAUACAUACGUUUCUCAGUAUUACUGAGAGUAAAUAAAUGGGUUUACUUCUGGUGAAGAGUUUUAAGUCCUUUCAGGGUUAACAGUAUGUAUUUGAGCUGUCUGGUUUCUCGACAGUGGAUAGCAUCAGACCAUACUAUGCUGAUUUACUGAGGAGAUGAAAAUCAAAUAAAUGAAAAAUAGUAUCAAACUUGUAGCAUCAAAGAUAUUACCUUGGACUACAGAGGUAUUGAAAAGAAUAUCGGCAGGAUUGAAGUGAGGUAGAAUGCUCAAGUCUGUAGGUUUGGGGUGGAACCUGCCGAUUUCUGUGGUUCUUGCGCGACAGGGAGAAAUUAACAAGUUAGUGACAUUCAGAAUAGGUUCUGUGCCAAGUUUUAAUGCAGGAUAUGUUAGGGUUGCAAGCUCCCAAACGGGACACGCAGCUAGGACAAACACAUUACCCACCUAAGUGCUCAGUGCGAUUGGUUUUACUAUGGCAUGGGGAAAGACAUUUUGGCAGGUUGAGGAAUAAAACUCUGCUUCCUUUAGGGACCUUUUCCCUAGCAUUUACACCCUCACCGCCCUACACCCCCACGCGGCCAUGGGGCGCGUAGGCUCGACGGCGACCUCCAUACCUCGCUGCUGGGCGGUGCGAGCCCUGCUGCGCUUUGUUUGGCCUAGCAACCACCCGGGGCCGGGCCAGGACCGGGUCAAAGCCGGCCAGGGCCCCGUCCUCCCCUCCCGGGCUCGCCGCCGCGAUCCUGGCCCUCGCCAAGCCCCGCCGUCCCCCGGCCGGGCCCGGCCCCGCCGCCGCGGGGGACAUGGAGCCCGGGGGCCGUGCGGGCGGCCGGGCGCUGCUCAUCACCCUGCCCGACAUCGGCGAGGAGGCGGCGGCGGAGGAGGGCGACGCCGAGGAGGGACCCCGCAGCCCGCGGAGCCCCCCGAAGGGACUGUUCAGAAGUUCCACAAAUCAGUGUCUUUCAGGAAAAAGUGGAGAAUCUCUUCCAUCAGUUUUUGAGAGAAAUGUGCAGGAAGCCAUCAAUAACUACACUUGUGAAACGCUUUCAUCGCUUUCAUCUAGUGGUCAUACAACACCCACAGACUUGAAUAAUUCCUGGUCUGAAAUAAAAAGCUGUACUACUGGGUUAUCUACUGAAAGAAGUUCUGUUUACUCCUGGAGGGAUGAUGAAUUUGAUGAAGCCAACACACAGAGAGUGCAACAGCUAUUUUGGGAUAUUGAUGAAAUGCUGUUUGAAGGAAAAGUGACCUCCCAAACUCAGAGCCUGCAGGCAGAAUGUGCAGACUGGGUUGAGCGGUCUCUUCAUUUAAGGGUUAUAGGAAAGCAGCUCCUGUCGCCAAACGACGAAGGCUUUCAGCAUUUUGAGAGCCCAAAUGAUAGCUCUGUGAAUACUAAGUGUUUACCUGGCCUCCGUGAAUGUACUAUUAAUAUAAAAGAGCUCUGCAUUUCAGGCUCUAAAUUGAUUCCAACAGCACCUCCAGUACACAAAUCACUAGAUUUAGUUUCCACUAUGAUUUCUGCCUCUGACUCGUCCAUGUAUUCGUUCCUGGAAGAAGAAAUCUAUGAUAUGGAUGGAAAAAUAGAAGAAUAUCUUGCCUUUGACAACAAUGAGCUUGACGAGAAUUUGGAACAAAAGAAUAUACAUCUUGCUGAGAAGAGGAGUAAGCAUGGCAUUCCCCCUGUUUCUCCCAAUGCCUGUAUCAAAGAUGUUGUGGCUUCUGAAGUAUUUGACCAUAUCUGGAGCAAUGUAAUUGGAAUACUGGAGGAACUGAUUAAAAAAAAUUGGGAAAACAAUAUCACAGAGGACAAACGGGUGGAGAAACUGAAAGCUGUUACAUGCAAACUGCCACUUUUGCCUGUUGGUCGAGUUACAGCAGAUGCUGGCAGUGUCCCCCUUUCCAGAGGCUCUGAAACACGAAGUGUAUCUUUUGGAUCUCAUUCUGUUUCAUCACUGCAGGUUCACCGUUUCUCCAGCAAUUUCUGUAGUGAUUUGAAUGGUGUGAUGACAAUUCAAGCAAAACCACUCCAACAGAGGCACAUUGCCACAGCAGAAAAAAUACAGAAUGAGCAAGACAAACCACACAAGAAUGGCUCCAGUGCUCCAAAUUCAGUGCGUACUAGACUGGAGAGAAUUGCUGAUAACUCUGUUCUCUCAUCAUCUCGGGUACUGCCGGCAUCUUCUAGGAAGCUACCAAGCCAUCGUAGGUUACCUUCUCUCACUUCUGACCAACUCUCCUCAAAAGCUCCUAAUAUGUACAAUGAUGAAAUCCUUAGGGGGACUAAAUUGGUUGCUGGCUUGGAUCGUUUAUCUUCUGGUGGUGCACAUACGGCCCGAAACAAGUUACCACCAAUAAACUCACAGGCUGUUGAACAGUAUCUUUCAGUCCCUCGAUUACAACAGACCUAUCAUCGAGGAAGAUAUGCUUAUAGCAGAGUGUCAAGCGCAGUGCCUGGCAGUACAGAACAGCGGCCACUCAGAGAACGAACUGUUGUUAUUGAUCAAUUUUCAAGGCCCAACACAACUCAUACAUUCAGGUGUACGUGGAUUCCUGCUCCCUCUACACAGCAGGAUGUUAAAAGGCUUUGGGAGAUUAUGAACAUAAAGCACAACCAGUGUAUGAGGAAGAGAUUUCCUCGGGUCUAAUGUACUAAACAGAUCCUUUGAGGCAAUCUGCAUGGAAGUGUGCAGUUUUUAGUACUGUUUAUAGCUUUGCACCUUGGUUGGGCUGACUGUACUGGACUAGACCAUAAAAAAUAGAUUGUCAAACCAUUUCAGCAGGCUCACAGCAUUACUACAAAUCCUUUCAGAGAAAUCCUUCGACCUCAUGCAAGAGAUUUCAGAUUGCUUCUUAAUGUAGCUUAGAAAGAAACAGAAGCCUUCUGCACUGAAUGGAAGAUUAAAGUGCUUAAUUUGCCAACUAGUACCUCGUGUGGCAAAAAACGUGCAGUUUCUGUGGAGCCUUGUGAUCAUCCAGAAUGCCCGUAUUCACAGAAUCACAGAAUUUCUAGGUUGGAAGAGACCUCAAGAUCAUCGAGUCCAACCUCUGACCUAAUGCUAACAGUCCCCACUAAACCAUAUCCCUAAGCUCUACAUCUAAACGUCUUCUAAA